CCGUCGCUGUGCAUUUUGCACUUUGGUCCCUUGCAAAUUGGGGAAUUAACCCACAAUCCUUUUCCCCCCCUUCGUGCGAGACGAGAGCUAGGGUUCCACAAUCCCUUUCUCUUCCUCCUAGGUGGCCGCCGCCGGACUUCAUCGCUCCACCACGUGCGUCGGCGCCACCACCUACCUCUCGCGGCCGUACGUGCGGGAAGCUGUCCGAGUUGCGCCUGUGCCUUGGGGAAUCGUCACCGCCGCCAGGCCAGACCGAGGAGGAGUGGCUCCACGGGAACUACGCCGUCGGCUGCCCCUACACAUCCUCAGUCUGCGCCCGCGCCGGCGAAAUCCGCCAAUCCGACAACUCGUUCCUGUGCCGCUGCGUCCUCCGAGGCCCUCGCCUGGUGGGUAGCAUCACGGGGGGCCGUCGCCUGCCUCAACCCUCGAUGCCUCCCGUAUCUCCGUCGUCCUCCGCCUUCCGGAGGCCUGCUCUGUUUGGGCAGGGCGAAGAAGGUGCCCAAUCUUCCUGAUUUUACCUCUUCCAUGAACCUCUUUGGAUGGUCAACGCGGGCAAGUGCAGGGCUACAUCGACUACGGAGCAGCGAUAAGGGGCAUUGGAGCAGGCACGACCAACCACCAACAAGGGUACGAUCCCUGUUCCUCCUCCACUCUCCCUCCCUCUCCCUAUACAUCUCGUCGUUGUCAUGAAUGAAUGUAUGUGAAUGCCAUCUCCAACGAUAGAAGGCUCUUCUGCCUGGCUACUCACCAAAUCCUUUGGGACGUCACCUUGCAGUGAUCUCAAUCCUCUCUUCGUAUUUUUAAUUGCCUCUUUAUAUUGUGGCUGCAACAAGAUGUUAAUUAGUAUGGAGUUCAGUGGAAUCACUUGGAUAUAUGUACCAAUUGAAGCAAGUUCAGUGGAAUCACUUGGACUAACAUUUUGUUAGUUUCUGAAUAAAAGAUGCACUUACAAAUGUUCCCUGCAGGCUUUUAGCACACCAGUACAUCCAGAUUUGAAUCUACCACACACUUUAUUUGGGUUGUUCUUCAUGUCGUUUCAUUUUCUGUACUUAAAGUGCUUGAGGUACUAUCAUACUUCUUGUGUAACAUCAUUCAGUCUUUGAUUAAACUAAGUUCUCUCUCUAAAAGGAGAAGUAGUACUGCUGCAAAUGUUUAUCAGAUGCCAUCGUUACUACAGAAUGAUGCUAUAUAGUAUAUACUAUGAAAUAAUAGUUACAUUUUCAUGAAAAUCAGAAUCAUUGCUGGAGAAUGACACUGCUAUGCAGAAUUACAUUUAUGUACCGAUUUGCACACUUGAAUCUAACUGUAGUUAACGUGCUAAUUUUACUAGAAGGAUGGUGUAUCUUAUUAAUUGUGUUUAACAUGUUACUCUUUCCGAUAUUACUGCUAAUUUUAAUGUAAUCCCUUGCUCGGCAUUUAAAAUUCAUGACAUCUUUCAUAAGUGGGUUCUUGAAUUGGCAGCAGACAAAUAGGUGUGAUGUUCAUAAGUUCAGUGUCUUGCAUGAACAGUAAAGUGAAUAUACACCAUGUCUUUGCUUGAUUUCAUUUUUUGUUAUUAGAACGUCACUGCAGUCUAUGCCAUUAGGAUAAGCAGAAGUGUCAUUCGCAUUGAAGAACAUAACUUUACCCGUAAGAGAUCUACACGAUUUAGCAUGGAUUUUCCAAGUUAUGUUCAUCUGUAGAGAAGUCAUUGCCGUUUCUGUUCAACAGGUGUAUGCAAACCAGUACUGAUCAUGCAAGAAAAUAUUGUGGGACAGGGCUUGGCCUUGUGAUUUUCAAGCAAUUGGUUUGUUUUCUCUCAGUUCCAAUUACUGAUUCAUCUAAAAUACACAGUUAAGAUAUUAGGUAUGUAUUAAAUACUAAACUUGGGAACACAACGAUAAUUAUUUGAGUGUUAGCUGUAGCAAAAGCAGGCCCAGUGUGAUUUAUAAAAUUCUAGAACUAUUUCACUGAAUUUCCGCAAUAAUUUAGGUGGAGUUGCUGGGCGGUACUCUUAAUUGUGGUUCGCAACGAGAAUAAAGGAUCAACAUUUACAUUCAUUCUCAUUGCUAACCAUAGUUUUCUGUAAAAAAAGGAGCACUGUGGAGUUGAUGGGUGGUACUCUAGGUGUGGUGCAUGUCAUCUGGUCUUGUGCGAGUGAGUAGCAAGAUGGGUGCUGAGCUCUCUCAGAUCCGGGAACCACACCUGCUGCCGCCACCGGAUACCUAUGGGUGCAGAGCCAUUGCCGACCUCACCGGAAAUGCCGCGCCGUCCAUCUUGUUCCUCCCUCACUGGCAAGACCGUAUGGUGUGCACAUGAUGUCUUCCUCCUUCCCCGACUGUUUGGCUGCAGGCACCACACCUACAUCAAUCUGAUUCAUUGCGUCAGGUGUAGUCAUGAAGUCAAUCAUCCGCAACUAGGGAUUGUUCAGGAGGUAUAGACAUUUAAAUUGGUAAGCCCAUUUUGGUUCAACAUCCAAUCACUAAAUAGGUAUGGACGUGUCAUCAAGACAUGAAGGUGUAUUGCUGGUCUUGUUUCGACAGCUUGAUGUGCUUAUUUGUAGGAGAACUCCAAGGCUAAACAUGGAAAAUAUUAGAAAGCCAGACUUAAAAUGAAUUUGUACAAAAAUAGUUUCCUACCAAGCCAAGCCUGCUUAUAUCCGUCGUUGAUAGUAAACAGAGCUCGGCAGCAUUCUGUUGGUACCUCAUAUUACCAUCUACCGUUUUGUAGUGAUAUUCACACUUGACAGUUUAAAUCCCCAUAUGCAAAAAUUAUUGGCAUUAGAUUCGUUUCGACCGAUCAUGCUCUAAAAACGGCAACACCAUAAUCCCUAAAUUAAGUCGGGUUAGAACUGUAGAACGACUGGUGUUUCUAUUUGAAGGCCUCUUUGUGCUUCCUUUGCUCUUUGUUGUUUCUCUCUUGUGUCGUAUUUUUUUCUUAUCCGAUUUUACAUGUCUACCUAUGAGCAGGAGGAUGGAAAUUUCACCAAAAUUCAGGUGCUUUUAACCGACCAUUACUUUCUACUACUUCACCAGCUGCACUACAUCAUAGUCACAACAAUGGUGUAUACAUAUACAACUCUUGUUAGUAAAUAAAAAGGUGGACUUGAGGAUAUAAAAAUAAUAAUGAUGCACACAUAUACAAGUUCUCUUUCAUUUCUGAAAUGGGCAAAGUUUAAGUGCAUCUGCUCAUGAAUUACCCACUAUUUUUAGAAGUCAUUAUUCGAGAAUUAACCUUUGACUCAGAAUAAUUAGAGGCCAAUUUUGCACAAUAUUGUUUGCUUCCAUAGUAACUUGUGUAUUGUUUUGAUUUUACUUUCAGGAUAUGAGUGCAGCAUCAUAGGGGGAUCACGAGGAGCUAGGAAACUAUUGAGUCUAUUUUUUUGCAGUUUGUUUCAGAGAAGCCCAUGUUAGUUUUACAUGUGAUUUUGGCAGCUGAUUCUGUUUGUGGUUAUAUUAAGGUCUAUGAAUUGCAAUUGUGCUAUUUUUCAUAAUAAAGGGAAAAAGGAGUGCUGCUUAGGCUCUGCUCAAAACUUUGUAGUGCACACAUAACUCAGUUCAUUGACUAGGUGAAUCCAUUAGAUGCGUAUAACUUGAGCCUUGUGUAAUUUGCAGUUUAGUGACUGUCACUAUUUCUAGGUAUAUAAUUUGGGAGCACACAAUUUCUUGACCCCUGUUACUAUGUUAGUAGUAUAGAUUGUUGCAGAAUAUAGGUAUUUCUGAAAUUCUUCUUACUUUAUCCUGUUAAUAUGAAUGGUUUGUGGAUUAAUAAAAUGAAAACCUUAAAUCUUGGUAUGAUUAUGUAAAAUGUGGACCUGCGCCCUGCACAAUUUUGUUUAUAUAGAACCUAGGCAUGGCUGGUGCUAUACUAUUUCAUCUUUCAUUUGUUGUUCAGUAGUACUUCCAAAUCUCUAAAUCAUGUUUUGCCAUUUGAAUUAAUUUAGUUACAAUUCACUCGGUUCUCUAGCCUUACAGAUGAGAGAUGCCAUAGUAAAUCAGAAUUAAUAACACCGACAGUUAUAAUAGUUCGGCAUUGGAAGGUAUGUCGGGUGUUUGGGAAGAGAAGCAUGGUGCCGGAAACGUACACAAAUUGCUUUUGGUUCUCUACCCAUCUGAUCUCAAUUAAGAUCACUGGAGUUUGUGAAAGUUAAAUUAUUGUCUGUUAAAUGCUUUUUUUGAACUACUAAAUUGUGUUGUUUGUGUUUUCUUCUCAUGUAGAUAUCGUGGAUUAUACUCGAAUAUAAUCAUCAAGUCCUUUUCUAUAGAAUUGGCUGAGAACUGCCUAAGAAUUGGCUGCUUGAUUCUUGAUAGAAAAGGCUUACCAUGUCCAUCGCAAUUUUACAUCGGCAGUAGGGAUUCAUGGUGACAUACACAGUAGGGAUUCAUGGUGACAUACACCAGCAUAGUGGAGCUUCUCACUUUAUGCUCUCCUUCUAACCGGAGUUUGCAGCUUUUGCUCCUAAAUGUAUCUGCUGAUCAAAUGACUUGGUAUUUCAGUGUUUGGUGGUGAUACAUUUCUGGACUCAGCUUAACUUUUUAAAAGAGUGCAAUAAAUAAUUAUUAAUAAAAUAUAAUUAGUCUACGGUGUAAAUAUAAAUUAUAAAGAUAACAAUUGGGCAUGUGUUUGUUAGGUUAGAACUGUAGAACGACUGGUGUUUCUAUUUGAAGGCCUCUUUGUGCUUCCUUUGCUCUUUGUUGUUUCUCUCUUGUGUCGUAUUUUUUUCUUGUCCGAUUUUACAUGUCUACCUAUGAGCAGGAGGAUGGAAAUUUCACCAAAAUUCAGGUGCUUUUAACCGACCAUUACUUUCUACUACUUCACCAGCUGCACUACAUCAUAGUCACAACAAUGGUGUAUACAUAUACAACUCUUGUUAGUAAAUAAAAAGGUGGACUUGAGGAUAUAAAAAUAAUAAUGAUGCACACAUAUACAAGUUCUCUUUCAUUUCUGAAAUGGGCAAAGUUUAAGUGCAUCCGCUCAUGAAUUACCCACUAUUUUUAGAAGUCAUUAUUCGAGAAUUAACCUUUGACUCAGAAUAAUUAGAGGCCAAUUUUGCACAAUAUUGUUUGCUUCCAUAGUAACUUGUGUAUUGUUUUGAUUUUACUUUCAGGAUAUGAGUGCAGCAUCAUAGGGGGAUCACGAGGAGCUAGGAAACUAUUGAGUCUAUUUUUUUGCAGUUUGUUUCAGAGAAGCCCAUGUUAGUUUUACAUGUGAUUUUGGCAGCUGAUUCUGUUUGUGGUUAUAUUAAGGUCUAUGAAUUGCAA
Lolium perenne is the source of this 5240-nucleotide long non-coding RNA. RefSeq lists it as uncharacterized. The record is from RefSeq and is a predicted model, not a curated record. Lineage: Eukaryota; Viridiplantae; Streptophyta; Magnoliopsida; Poales; Poaceae.